CAAUAGCGUAUAUUAAAGUUGUUGCAGUUAAAAAGCUCGUAGUUGGAUUUGUGGCGUACGGUGGGUUCCGGGCACUUGUUGUCUGAGUAACUUGCUGUUGCCAUCCUUGGGUGGAACCUGUGUGGCAUUAGGUUGUCGUGCAGGGGAUGCCCAUCAUUUACUGUGAAAAAAUUAGAGUGUUCAAAGCAGGCUUAUGCCGUUGAAUAUAUUAGCAUGGAAUAAUGAGAUAGGACUUUUUUGCUAUUUUGUUGGUUUGCGCAAAGAGGUAAUGAUCAAUAGGGACAGUUGGGGGUAUUCGUAUUCCAUUGUCAGAGGUGAAAUUCUUGGAUUUUUGGAAGACGAACUACUGCGAAAGCAUUUACCAAGGAUGUUUUCAUUAA
RNAcentral lists this ribosomal RNA (380 nucleotides) under uncultured eukaryote. Its description in RNAcentral is "partial 18S ribosomal RNA". It matches the Rfam family "Eukaryotic small subunit ribosomal RNA", at positions 592 to 976 of the family's 1831-position model. The record is from RNAcentral.